Molecule: transfer RNA, 64 nt
Filed under: Ceraphronidae sp. ZJUH_2016007
Lineage: Eukaryota; Metazoa; Arthropoda; Insecta; Hymenoptera; Ceraphronidae
Description: tRNA-Asp
Source: RNAcentral
AAAAUCUUAAUUUAAACAAAAUUUUAAAUUGUCAAUUUAAAUAUAAACUCACAUUUAGAUUUUA